UAAGUCAGAAUCUGUACUAGAAACGAUGAUGUUGGUCCCGCACGUGUUAGUUGUGUCAUAAUAGGCUUCGGCUGUGUACCAUAUCUGGGCUGGGUGGCUCGGGCGGAAAGGCUCGGGUCGCUUGCUCUUCAUUGUAAUCAAAUAUGCGCGGGGGUGAAUCCUUUGCAGACGACUUGAAUUGAACCGGGUGCUGUAAGUAGUAGAGUAGCCUUGUUGCUACGAUCUACUGAGGCUAAGCCCGUGUUCUACAGAUUUGUGUCUUCGGACCUCUAAGUGAUUCCAUGGACCGGGGGACUUUCUCCUGGACUUGGGUGCUGAGGGGUAGGUGUGGGCCUGGGAUGGUGUCGUACCAUGUUGUCGACGUUUGGGGUGGUGUCGGACCACGUCGAUCGCAAACACGAACAAGUGAUGGUCGGGCACAUACAGGUGGGUGGCGCGGUGACGAAUCUGCCGGUCUGVGAUCCGAUUGGACCGGGGGACUUGCACGUGAGAUGACUUGGGUUAUUAUUGGCCACGGACAAGCACCGUAUCUCCAUGGACCGGGGGAGUUAUGUUGCGUAUGGACUCGUCAUCCAGCCGGCUGUACCCAUGGACCGGGGGAGUUGCUUACAGCAGGGACUGGGUCGUUCACACGUGACAGCGGGCCAUAGACCGGGGGACUUGUGCGAUCCAGGAUGCUUGUUCCGCGCCCCGGUAUAUAUAGCCAUGAUCAGCUGUACACCCAUCCACGGGCA
RNAcentral lists this ribosomal RNA (734 nucleotides) under Laetisaria endoxylon. RNAcentral's name for it is "partial large subunit ribosomal RNA". Lineage: Eukaryota; Fungi; Basidiomycota; Agaricomycetes; Corticiales; Corticiaceae. The record is from RNAcentral.